CCUGGAGAGCAGGUACAGUCUGGUUGAGGACAGGGCAAACUUCCCCACAUUUCCCUGCCAGUGCAUCUCAACCCUGUUCUGGAGAGACCACCUCUAGGGG
Molecule: small RNA, 100 nt
Filed under: Chrysemys picta bellii (western painted turtle)
Lineage: Eukaryota; Metazoa; Chordata; Testudines; Emydidae
Description: TUC338 (ENSCPBG00000028113.1)
Source: RNAcentral